RNAcentral lists this ribosomal RNA (504 nucleotides) under Triticum aestivum (bread wheat). RNAcentral's name for it is "partial small subunit ribosomal RNA". The record is from RNAcentral. Lineage: Eukaryota; Viridiplantae; Streptophyta; Magnoliopsida; Poales; Poaceae.
AUGCAUGUGCACAGUUCGAUGGGCCGUGGAGUUACAGAAGGUGGUAUUGUGAAGGACAUGAAGAGGAUAUUAUCACUCAGCUAUUAUGAUUUGCCUUCGCAUCUGAAGGCUUGUUUGUUAUACCUAAGCAUCUUUCCUGAAGACUUUGAGAUUAACAGAGAUUUGCUGAUAUGGAGGUGGCUUGCUGAAGGGUUUAUCCAAUGUGACAAAGAUGAAACCAGGCUGUUUGAGAUCGGAAAGAGCUACUUCAACGAGCUUAUGAACAGGAGCUUGAUCCAGCCAGCGGAAACCAAUUAUGAAGGAACAGUAGUAACUUGCCGUAUACAUGAUAUGGUGCUUGACCUUAUAUGCUCGCUGUCAAGUGAGGAGAAUUUUAUCUCCAUAUUGGAUAAUGCGGAGUGGAAUGCACCUAAUCGGCAAAGAAAUUUCGCAGGUUAUCACUUCAUAAUAUCAAGGCAAAGGUUCAGAACCAUCAGAUUGAAAGCACUAGCCUGUCAAAAGUGA